GAUGAACGCUAGCUACAGGCUUAACACAUGCAAGUCGAGGGGCAGCAUGGUCUUAGCUUGCUAAGGCCGAUGGCGACCGGCGCACGGGUGAGUAACACGUAUCCAACCUGCCGUCUACUCUUGGACAGCCUUCUGAAAGGAAGAUUAAUACAAGAUGGCAUCAUGAGUCCGCAUGUUCACAUGAUUAAAGGUAUUCCGGUAGACGAUGGGGAUGCGUUCCAUUAGAUAGUAGGCGGGGUAACGGCCCACCUAGUCUUCGAUGGAUAGGGGUUCUGAGAGGAAGGUCCCCCACAUUGGAACUGAGACACGGUCCAAACUCCUACGGGAGGCAGCAGUGAGGAAUAUUGGUCAAUGGGCGAGAGCCUGAACCAGCCAAGUAGCGUGAAGGAGGACUGCCCUAUGGGUUGUAAACUUCUUUUAUAAAGGAAUAAAGUCGGGUAUGGAUACCCGUUUGCAUGUACUUUAUGAAUAAGGAUCGGCUAACUCCGUG
RNAcentral lists this ribosomal RNA (490 nucleotides) under uncultured bacterium. RNAcentral's name for it is "partial 16S ribosomal RNA". It matches the Rfam family "Bacterial small subunit ribosomal RNA", at positions 28 to 507 of the family's 1533-position model. The record is from RNAcentral.